RNAcentral lists this ribosomal RNA (575 nucleotides) under soil bacterium Mafe-S3F-M1LLLSSL-3. Its description in RNAcentral is "bacterial SSU rRNA". It matches the Rfam family "Bacterial small subunit ribosomal RNA", at positions 128 to 698 of the family's 1533-position model. The record is from RNAcentral.
GUCCGGUAGUGGGGGAUAGCCCGGCGAAGGGCGGAUUAAUACCGCAUACGCUCUACGGAGGAAAGGGGGGGAGCUUCGGACCUCCCGCUACCGGGGCGGCCUAUGGCGGAUUAGCUAGUUGGUGGGGGAAGGGCUGACCCAGGCGACGAUCUGUACCUGGUCUGAGAGGAAGACCAACCACACUGGGACUGAGACACAGACCAGACUCCUACGGGAGGCAGCAGUGGGGAAUUUUGGACAAUGGGCGAGAGCCUGAUCCAGCCAUGCCGCGUGUGUGAAUAAGGACUUCGGGUUGUAAAGCACUUUUGUUCGGAAGGAAGGCCUCCGCCCUAAUAUGGUGGGGGGAUGACGGUACCGGCACAAUAAGCACCGGCUAACUAUGUGCCAGCAGCCGCGGUAAUACAUAGGGUGCGAGCGUUAAUCGGAAUUACUGGGCGUAAAGCGUGCGCACGCGGUCCGCUUAUACAGAUGUGAAAUCCCCGGGCUUAACCUGGGAACUGCAUUUGUGACUGGCGGGCUAGAGUAUGGCAGAUGGAGGUGGAAUUCCAUGUGUAUCUGUGAAAUGCGUACAUAUA